This 789-nucleotide ribosomal RNA is filed under the name uncultured Staphylococcus sp. Its description in RNAcentral is "bacterial SSU rRNA". It matches the Rfam family "Bacterial small subunit ribosomal RNA", at positions 131 to 906 of the family's 1533-position model. The record is from RNAcentral. Lineage: Bacteria; Bacillati; Bacillota; Bacilli; Caryophanales; Staphylococcaceae.
UAUAAGACUGGGAUAACUUCGGGAAACCGGGGCUAAUGCCGGAUAAUAUUUAGAACCGCAUGGUUCUAAAGUGAAAGAUGGUUUUACUAUCACUUAUAGAUGGACCCGCGCCGUAUUAGCUAGUUGGUGGGGUAAUGGCUUACCAAGGCAACGAUACGUAGCCGACCUGAGAGGGUGAUUGGCCACACUGGAACUGAGACACGGUCCAGACUCCUACGGGAGGCAGCAGUAGGGAAUCUUCCGCAAUGGGCGAAAGCCUGACGGAGCAACGCCGCGUGAGUGAUGAAGGUCUUCGGAUCGUAAAACUCUGUUAUUAGGGAAGAACAAAUGUGUAAGUAACUGUGCACGUCUUGACGGUACCUAAUCAGAAAGCCACGGCUAACUACGUGCCAGCAGCCGCGGUAAUACGUAGGUGGCAAGCGUUAUCCGGAAUUAUUGGGCGUAAAGCGCGCGUAGGCGGUUUCUUAAGUCUGAUGUGAAAGCCCACGGCUCAACCGUGGAGGGUCAUUGGAAACUGGGAAACUUGAGUGCAGAAGAGGAAAGUGGAAUUCCAUGUGUAGCGGUGAAAUGCGCAGAGAUAUGGAGGAACACCAGUGGCGAAGGCGACUUUCUGGUCUGUAACUGACGCUGAUGUGCGAAAGCGUGGGGAUCAAACAGGAUUAGAUACCCUGGUAGUCCACGCCGUAAACGAUGAGUGCUAAGUGUUAGGGGGUUUCCGCCCCUUAGUGCUGCAGCUAACGCAUUAAGCACUCCGCCUGGGGAGUACGACCGCAAGGUUGAAACUCAAAG